CUGCAGGAUUGCCUGUGUUUAGAUAUUUCUUUCAUUUGUCCUGAGUCGCUGAGAUCUUUUGUUUGUCAGGCCCAAACCUCAUGGUGUCCGCAGGCCGGACGCUGCUGCUGCCCUGCAGAGGCUCCGGUCAGGCCAAACAGAGGUGGUUUCACCGGAGGAAGGGCAAGAAGCGAGAGGCCAUCCUCACCCGCUUCAGAAACGGCACGGUGAGGGAGGAGAGGGAGGACGCAGACGGCAGGUUCCGGCUGGACCAGGACGCCCUGCAGAUCCUGGACCUGCAGCCAGAGGACGCUGGAGAGUACCUGUGCAACAGAGAGCUGGAGGCCAGAGUCAUCGUGCUGGAAGCACAGCCUGAGGAAACCAGCGUCCAACCUGCUACUUUCACAACUGCAACUCCUGCUGUCAUGACAACAGAUGUUGUUGAAACCACCAACAAGGAGAAGAGACCAGAGAACUCUCUGGUGCUGCUGGCCGUCGUCGGGUUGUGUGUCAUGAUCCUGCUCACAGCUCUGCUCUGUGUUUUGCUGACCAGCAUCAAAUGCAGAAGGAUGAGGAAAUACAGAAAAGCAGCGGCAGCAGCGGCGGCGGCGGCGGAGCGACCGGAUGACACCGAGCUGCAGCCGUGGAGUUUGUCCAGCCGACUGACAGACUCCGAGGUGUUUGAGAGUCCGUGCUCGGCGGUGGAGAGCAUCCACUACGCCUCGCUGGGCCGACACAACUGGAGGGAGCGACCCAGCAGGACGCCGCCGGAGCCGAGCCGCCACAACGUCAUCUACUCGUCCGUGAUCACCAGGCCUGCCGCCAAGUAGCCUGCGCUCGCCGCUCCGAGGCCGAACUCUGUUUUCCCGUCUUUUUCUGUUGCACCACUGAACUGAAAGCCAUGAUUUUGCACUUUGAACCGUAGGCCUACAUGUGGAGACUGUCCUUGUGUUAAAAAAAAAAAACGACCCCGUGGGUGGUUUGUACAGCAGCUUCUUACGACCCAUACUUACGUUUUAAAGUUAAGCGCCCUCUAGUGGUGCUGUAAAUAAUGACAGUGGUGCAGGAUAAAGGGAGCGACAAAGUCCGUUUCAUGAGGUUGGUGGGUUGGCAGAUGAGCCAAACAAAACUUUCGCCAGUGGUAACCUUAACCUUGACCUUAAACAAGUAUUUUUAGUGGCUAGCGAGCUAUCUCACUAGCGAGCAUUAGCAAAGCUUCACUAAUAAUCACAUGCAAACAAUAGGAAUACACUCAGUGUCACUUUAUCAGCUCCACCUGUCCAGUCUAAUGCAGUUCAAUGCAACAUAAAUUCUACCUUUUAACAAAGUUUAUAAUGUUCAGUUUAAUUCUGUGUUUAUUACUGAGGUUGUAGUUUGCAGAGGUCUGCUACUGGACUGCAUUAUACUGAGAGGUGUUUCCAGUUUUUUGUCCUCCCUAUUUAUAUACAAUGAGGGGGGACAGAAUAGUGGAAACAUCUGUUAGUAAAAUGCAGUCCAGUCCAACAGCAGCACUAACUAUGAGCUCAAUGCCAAACAUAGAAGUGAAUGAACACCUCUGUUACCGUGACAACAAGAAAACCUGAGCAUUAUAGGCAGCAGGAGAGGAAACUUUAUGGCACAACAGUUGGAUUGGAUUGGAUUAGAUUAUACAGGUGGAGCUGAUAAAGCGGCCACAGAGUGUAUCAUAUUAUUAGCAAGGCAUUUUGAUCGGCCUUUCUACGAAGCUGAACCACUUUAUUCACCAAAAAACAACAAAAAUAGAAGAAUUUGUGCAAACUGACACACGUGGGGACGGCAGACUCGACAUGUCACUCCACACAUUUACAGAUAAGCUCUUCAUCACGCUGUGCAUUCAGGCAGCAAUGUUACAAUAAUGUAAGAAAAUGUUCAUGUUGAAUGUACUUACUGAUUCUUAUUAUACUGUAUUUAUCUAUUUGCUUAAUAAAACUGAAGGCUUGUGCUGAUAUGCAAACAUUCAUAACUGUUAAGGCAAUGCAAUGAGAAACAAAAGCACCACACAGUUUCUGAAUGAACAAUUAAA
This is a long non-coding RNA of Myripristis murdjan (pinecone soldierfish), 2020 nucleotides long. The record is from Ensembl. NCBI's taxonomy places the organism in Eukaryota, Metazoa, Chordata, Actinopteri, Holocentriformes, Holocentridae.